AGAGUUUGAUUCUGGCUCAGGAUGAACGCUAGCGGCAGGCUUAACACAUGCAAGUCGAGGGGCAGCGGGGAGGAAGCUUGCUUUCUCCGCCGGCGACCGGCGCACGGGUGAGUAACACGUAUGCAACCUGCCCCUGUCAGGGGGACAACCCGCCGAAAGGCGGGCUAAACCCGCGUACAUGCCACCGGGGCAUCCCGGAGGCAGGAAAGGCUUCGGCCGGACAGGGAUGGGCAUGCGGCGCAUUAGGCAGUAGGCGGGGUAACGGCCCACCUAACCGACGAUGCGUAGGGGUUCUGAGAGGAAGGUCCCCCACACUGGUACUGAGACACGGACCAGACUCCUACGGGAGGCAGCAGUGAGGAAUAUUGGUCAAUGGUCGGGAGACUGAACCAGCCAAGCCGCGUGAGGGAGGAAGGUACAGAGUAUCGUAAACCUCUUUUGUCAGGGAACAAAGACUGGGACGCGUCCCCGGAUGAGUGUACCUGAAGAAAAAGCAUCGGCUAACUCCGUGCCAGCAGCCGCGGUAAUACGGAGGAUGCGAGCGUUAUCCGGAUUUAUUGGGUUUAAAGGGUGCGCAGGCGGUCUGUUAAGUCAGCGGUCAAAGCCCGGGGCUCAACCCCGGCCCGCCGUUGAAACUGGCAGUCUCGAGUUGG
This 653-nucleotide ribosomal RNA is filed under the name uncultured bacterium. RNAcentral describes it as "bacterial SSU rRNA". It matches the Rfam family "Bacterial small subunit ribosomal RNA", at positions 8 to 650 of the family's 1533-position model. The record is from RNAcentral.